CCUACGGGUGGCAGCAGUGAGGAAUAUUGGUCAAUGGACGGAAGUCUGAACCAGCCAUGCCGCGUGCAGGAAGACGGCUCUAUGAGUUGUAAACCGCUUUUGUACAAGGGUAAACCUGAAUACGUGUAUUCAGCUGAAAGUACUGUACGAAUAAGGAUCGGCUAACUCCGUGCCAGCAGCCGCGGUAAUACGGAGGAUCCAAGCGUUAUCCGGAUUUAUUGGGUUUAAAGGGUGCGUAGGCGGAUUGAUAAGUUAGAGGUGAAAUCCCGAGGCUCAACUUCGGAAUUGCCUCUGAUACUGUUCGGCUAGAGAGUAGUUGCGGUAGGCGGAAUGCGUGGUGUAGCGGUGAAAUGCAUAGAUAUCACGCAGAACUCCGAUUGCGAAGGCAGCAUACCGGCGCCCGACUGACGCUGAGGCACGAAAGCGUGGGGAUCGAACAGGAUUAGAUACCCUAGUAGUC
This 460-nucleotide ribosomal RNA is filed under the name uncultured bacterium. Its description in RNAcentral is "partial 16S ribosomal RNA". It matches the Rfam family "Bacterial small subunit ribosomal RNA", at positions 338 to 795 of the family's 1533-position model. The record is from RNAcentral.